Molecule: ribosomal RNA, 158 nt
Filed under: Aspergillus flavus
Lineage: Eukaryota; Fungi; Ascomycota; Eurotiomycetes; Eurotiales; Aspergillaceae
Also listed under: 3 other names
Description: 5.8S ribosomal RNA
Rfam family: 5.8S ribosomal RNA
About the family: 5.8S ribosomal RNA (5.8S rRNA) is a component of the large subunit of the eukaryotic ribosome. It is transcribed by RNA polymerase I as part of the 45S precursor that also contains 18S and 28S rRNA.
Source: RNAcentral
AAAACUUUCAACAAUGGAUCUCUUGGUUCCGGCAUCGAUGAAGAACGCAGCGAAAUGCGAUAACUAGUGUGAAUUGCAGAAUUCCGUGAAUCAUCGAGUCUUUGAACGCACAUUGCGCCCCCUGGUAUUCCGGGGGGCAUGCCUGUCCGAGCGUCAUU